This 497-nucleotide ribosomal RNA is filed under the name uncultured bacterium. RNAcentral's name for it is "partial 16S ribosomal RNA". It matches the Rfam family "Bacterial small subunit ribosomal RNA", at positions 28 to 507 of the family's 1533-position model. The record is from RNAcentral.
GACGAACGCUGGCGGCGUGCCUAAUACAUGCAAGUAGAACGCUGAAGAGAGGAGCUUGCUCUUCUUGGAUGAGUUGCGAACGGGUGAGUAACGCGUAGGUAACCUGCCUUGUAGCGGGGGAUAACUAUUGGAAACGAUAGCUAAUACCGCAUAACAAUGGAUGACACAUGUCAUUUAUUUGAAAGGGGCAAUUGCUCCACUACAAGAUGGACCUGCGUUGUAUUAGCUAGUAGGUGAGGUAAUGGCUCACCUAGGCGACGAUACAUAGCCGACCUGAGAGGGUGAUCGGCCACACUGGGACUGAGACACGGCCCAGACUCCUACGGGAGGCAGCAGGAGGGAAUCUUCGGCAAUAGGGGCAACCCUGACCGAGCAACGCCGCGGGAGUGAAGAAGGUUUUCGGAUCGUAAAGCUCUGUUGUAAGUCAAGAACGGGUGUGAGAGUGGAAAGUUCACACUGUGACGGUAGCUUACCAGAAAGGGACGGCUAACUACGUG